AUUGAACGCUGGCGGCAUGCCUUACACAUGCAAGUCGAACGGCAGCACGGGUGCUUGCACCUGGUGGCGAGUGGCGAACGGGUGAGUAAUACAUCGGAACAUGUCCUGUAGUGGGGGAUAGCCCGGCGAAAGCCGGAUUAAUACCGCAUACGAUCUACGGCUGAAAGCGGGGGACCUUCGGGCCUCGCGCUAUAGGGUUGGCCGAUGGCUGAUUAGCUAGUUGGUGGGGUAAAGGCCUACCAAGGCGACGAUCAGUAGCUGGUCUGAGAGGACGACCAGCCACACGGGGACUGAGACACGGCCCAGACUCCUACGGGAGGCAGCAGUGGGGAAUUUUGGACAAUGGGCGAAAGCCUGAUCCAGCAAUGCCGCGUGUGUGAAGAAGGCCUUCGGGUUGUAAAGCACUUUUGUCCGGAAAGAAAUCCUUGGCCCUAAUACGGUCGGGGGAUGACGGUACCGGAAGAAUAAGCACCGGCUAACUACGUG
RNAcentral lists this ribosomal RNA (486 nucleotides) under uncultured bacterium. Its description in RNAcentral is "partial 16S ribosomal RNA". It matches the Rfam family "Bacterial small subunit ribosomal RNA", at positions 30 to 507 of the family's 1533-position model. The record is from RNAcentral.